Molecule: ribosomal RNA, 497 nt
Filed under: uncultured bacterium
Lineage: Bacteria
Description: partial 16S ribosomal RNA
Rfam family: Bacterial small subunit ribosomal RNA
Source: RNAcentral
GAUGAACGCUGGCGGCGUGCCUAAUACAUGCAAGUCGAGCGAACAGACGAGGAGCUUGCUCCUCUGACGUUAGCGGCGGACGGGUGAGUAACACGUGGAUAACCUACCUAUAAGACUGGGAUAACUUCGGGAAACCGGAGCGAAUACCGGAUAAUAUAUUGAACCGCAUGGUUCAAUAGUGAAAGACGGUUUUGCUGUCACUUAUAGAUGGAUCCGCGCCGCAUUAGCUAGUUGGUAAGGUAACGGCUUACCAAGGCAACGAUGCGUAGCCGACCUGAGAGGGUGAUCGGCCACACUGGAACUGAGACACGGUCCAGACGCCUACGGGAGGCAGCAGUAGGGAAUCUUCCGCAAUGGGCGAAAGCCUGACGGAGCAACGCCGCGUGAGUGAUGAAGGUCUUCGGAUCGUAAAACUCUGUUAUUAGGGAAGAACAAAUGUGUAAGUAACUAUGCACGUCUUGACGGUACCUAAUCAGAAAGCCACGGCUAACUACGUG